This 308-nucleotide ribosomal RNA is filed under the name uncultured bacterium. RNAcentral describes it as "partial 16S ribosomal RNA". It matches the Rfam family "Bacterial small subunit ribosomal RNA", at positions 505 to 807 of the family's 1533-position model. The record is from RNAcentral.
GAGACAGCAGUCGCCGCGGUAAUACGGAGGAUCCAAGCGUUAUCCGGAAUCAUUGGGUUUAAAGGGUCCGUAGGCGGUCUUGUAAGUCAGUGGUGAAAGCCCAUCGCUCAACGGUGGAACGGCCAUUGAUACUGCAGGACUUGAAUUAUUGGGAAGUAACUAGAAUAUGUAGUGUAGCGGUGAAAUGCUUAGAGAUUACAUGGAAUACCAAUUGCGAAGGCAGGUUACUACCAAUUGAUUGACGCUGAUGGACGAAAGCGUGGGUAGCGAACAGGAUUAGAUACCCCUGUAGUCCCUGUCUCUUAUAC